Molecule: non-coding RNA, 45 nt
Filed under: Schistosoma mansoni
Lineage: Eukaryota; Metazoa; Platyhelminthes; Trematoda; Strigeidida; Schistosomatidae
Source: RNAcentral
AUCCAGCUGUAGAGUCCCAAAUAUGACGAAACACGCGUCCUUGAU